UUGGCUUCGACCUUUUUUCCUUUAUUUUUCUCUUCUGGUAUAGCUGGACUUCUUCCCCGAGUGGUGGUGGAUUGGCGAGGGUUUCACCGGAGCGAGGUCGAGCAGCGCAUCUCGAUAUGGUGGCUUUGGCCACUUUUUCUUGUGGCGGUGGGGCUGGCGAUGAAGAGGCGGUGGGGCUAGCAAUGAGAGGCGGCGGCGACUCCGGAUCUGAAAGAUUGGGCAUGGUGGCCUGGCCACCAGUGCGGCGUUCCUUUCAAAGAUGUGGUCUGCUUUGUUAGAACUGGCGGUGGCCUUGGUGUUGGCUGUGUUAAUCGAGGCGAUGGAUUGUGGGUAGGUUGUCAGCGCAGCAUCAUCGAUCGUGGACUUGCAGGAGCAAUGGUGGAGGGCGGCGACUUCCGAAUGAUGGUGCUCAAAUCCAAUGUCAGAGCAAAGCAAAUUUGCUCAGCAUGAAUGGGCUUCCUCUCUCAGUCAAGCUUGGGGAGCAGCUUAAGUUUCUUCCUGAUCAAAUGAAAGAUAUGUUCAACAUAAAAGGGGCAAGAACUUUCCACUUUGUGUGAAG
Long non-coding RNA from Rosa chinensis, 559 nucleotides. RefSeq lists it as uncharacterized. NCBI's taxonomy places the organism in Eukaryota, Viridiplantae, Streptophyta, Magnoliopsida, Rosales, Rosaceae. The record is from RefSeq and is a predicted model, not a curated record. The transcript is spliced from 3 exons.